CCAAUAGCGUAUAUUAAAGUUGUUGCAGUUAAAAAGCUCGUAGUUGAAUUUCGGGGUUAGUACGCUGGUCGUGCCUUCGGUAUGUACUGGUGUUACUGAUUCCUACCUUCUGAAGAACCGUCAUGUCAUUAAUUUGGUGUGGCGGGGAAUCAGGACUGUUACUUUGAAAAAAUUAGAGUGUUUAAAGCAGGCUCGCGCUUGAAUACAUUAGCAUGGAAUAAUGAAAUAGGACGUUUAAUCCUAUUUUGUUGGUUUCUAGGAUUGACGUAAUGAUUAAUAGGGAUAGUUGGGGGCAUUAGUAUUCAAUUGUCAGAGGUGAAAUUCUUGGAUUUAUUGAAGACUAACUACUGCGAAAGCAUUUGCCAAGGAUGUUUUCAUUAAUCAAGAACGAAAGUUAGGGGAUCGAAGACGAUCAGAUACCGUCGUAGUCUUAACCAUAAACUAUGCCGACUAGGGAUCGGAUGAUGUUAAUUUUUUAAUGACUCAUUCGGCGCCUUACG
Molecule: ribosomal RNA, 500 nt
Filed under: uncultured Glomeromycotina
Lineage: Eukaryota; Fungi; Glomeromycota
Description: partial small subunit ribosomal RNA
Rfam family: Eukaryotic small subunit ribosomal RNA
Source: RNAcentral